Molecule: ribosomal RNA, 301 nt
Filed under: uncultured bacterium
Lineage: Bacteria
Description: partial 16S ribosomal RNA
Rfam family: Bacterial small subunit ribosomal RNA
Source: RNAcentral
CAGUAGCCGCGGUAAAACGAAGGGGGCUAGCGUUGUUCGGAAUUACUGGGCGUAAAGCGCACGUAGGCGGAUAUUUAAGUCAGGGGUGAAAUCCCGCAGCUCAACUGCGGAACUGCCUUUGAUACUGGGUAUCUUGAGUAUGGAAGAGGUUAGUGGAAUUGCGAGUGUAGAGGUGAAAUUCGUAGAUAUUCGCAGGAACACCAGUGGCGAAGGCGGCUAACUGGUCCAUAACUGACGCUGAGGUGCGAAAGCGUGGGGAGCAAACAGGAUUAGAUACCCCCGUAGUCCCUGUCUCUUAUAC